Non-coding RNA from Pelobates cultripes (western spadefoot toad), 108 nucleotides. The record is from the annotation of a GenBank genome assembly. NCBI's taxonomy places the organism in Eukaryota, Metazoa, Chordata, Amphibia, Anura, Pelobatidae.
GUGUGUGUGUGUGUGUGUGUGUGUGUGUGUGUGUGUGUGUGUGUGUGUAUAUAUAUAUACAUAUACACACACAUACACAUACACACACACACACACACACAGCUCUCC